RNAcentral lists this long non-coding RNA (818 nucleotides) under Manacus vitellinus (golden-collared manakin). Its description in RNAcentral is "lncRNA (ENSMVIG00005014793.1)". The record is from RNAcentral. Lineage: Eukaryota; Metazoa; Chordata; Aves; Passeriformes; Pipridae.
GUGUGGCUUGCCAGCUUUUCACAAGGCAUCUGCUGCAGUGGAGCAGGGACAGCUGUGUAAUCUGGAUCCCCAGCCACACCAAGAAACUGUUUGCCAAGGGAACUGUUGCUGGAUCAGCACUGGAUGUCAUCUGCUCAGCCUGGCUCCAACCCAGGGCUCCAUGGCAAAUCCCUUGGGUGACACCUGCCAUGUCUCGCUUGUAAAACCCACUCAGAUCUGUCCCAGCCUCUUUGAAUUAAUGCUGCUUGUAUCUUAAGCCUCUCAAUCAUGUGAGAAUUUUGUAAUGUGCUACACAGGAUCAUCUGAAAUGACCUAAGGACCUUGUGGCUCCCUUCUCUAUGGCUGCACAUGAUCACAGGGCGCUCCAGGGCACAGGCAGCUUUAUCCUGUCUCCAUCAACAGACUGCAAUCUCUACAUCAAGGAGAGAAAUAUCACCUGACAAAAGAUGGCUGAGCACAUCGUGGUGAUCCAAACCAGCCAUACAACAGCCAGGACAGGUGUGUGUACCAAACAGAAAGGAUUUAGGAACAAGUGGACUGCUUUCCACCACUGCCUUCUCAGAUGCCCACACCAAAGCAAUUACCAUAUGGGAGAUGCUGACUGGCUGGAAGAACCUGUUCAUUCUGGGUCUGUAAUGGAGUCUGUGAGGAGCUCAGCUUCCUGGUAUGGAAGAAGGAGAACUUCCUUGUCAACAACUGAGAAGAUUCUGAAGAACUCAAAGCACGGAGCAGCACUAGCUGCUGGGGGCCGUCCUGUGACAGCAGGCUGCAAUGCCAGCCCGUACCUGUUUGAUCUCAUAGUGCAAAGACGUGUGUGU